AGCAGCAUGGCGCAGUUGGAAGCGCGCGGGGCCCAUACUCUAUGCCACCCCGAGGUCACUCGAUCGAAACGAGUUGCUGCUA
Molecule: transfer RNA, 82 nt
Filed under: Sphagnurus paluster
Lineage: Eukaryota; Fungi; Basidiomycota; Agaricomycetes; Agaricales; Lyophyllaceae
Description: tRNA-iMet
Source: RNAcentral